Molecule: long non-coding RNA, 1416 nt
Filed under: Homo sapiens (human)
Lineage: Eukaryota; Metazoa; Chordata; Mammalia; Primates; Hominidae
Description: HSALNT0168426
Source: RNAcentral
GCAGGGCCUGUGACGUUAGGCACCACCGUGGACACCACCCACCUGGAGAAUCCCAAAGCUGUCACACCUGCCUCUGCCCCAGACUGUACCCCAGUCAACUCUGCAACCACACUCAAGAACAGGCCUCUCUCGGUCGUGGUCACAGGCAAAGGCACUGUACUCCAGAAAGCCAAGGAAUGGGAGAAGAAAGGAGCAAGUUAGAAAACAAGCUUCAUCUAAAGACUCUCAUGUCAAUGUGGACCUUGGUGACAAUCCUGCUUUGUUAAAGCAAAAACUAUGCGAAAGGGUGAGUCUGUUUAGAAGAAAAAGCAAAGACUGAGGUACUGUGAAUGGAGAGCUUCAGCUAAGAGGAGGCUCUGUCCCUUUUCAGAGCCAAAGGAAAUAAUACAACAAAAAGGAGGCUUCUUUGGAGACCUAAGUCUAUUGGAUGUAAACAAGACGUUGUAUUUAGGGAUGUUCUGUGUUUCUUUCUUUUUUGAAGUUGUCAUCAAUUGCUUUACUAAGAUUUUUAAAUAGUGAAAACCUCCUGUUUAGACUUUGGUGGAAGAUGAAUCAAGGAAGCAGGGCCCUGUCUUAUGGGUCACGUGUCUUUGGUGAGUGAGAAGACCUAAACUCCUGGCCAUCAUCUCUUAUCCAAUACUUAGCAGUUGGGGAUUAAACCAUCCUUGCCUUCAGUUCUCUCCAAUAUUACCAGGCCCAACUCAGUCUUCAGUGAUUUUAAACAGCAUUGACAUCAUCUGUAAAACCAUCAUCUGUAAAACCAUCUAUGACAUGAGUUUUGAGAAACAAUAAUGGGGAAAAUAUUUGGGACCAAGCUGAAGCACUAAUCCCACUAAGUUAAAGACUUCUUUCCAGUCCAAGGCAGGCCUGAAUCAACUGUCUUUAAAUAAAAUUUUAAGUGAUGCUGUAUUAUAUAUAGGAAAAAAUGCUUAAAAUCCUGUCAUUUAGAACAGUGAAAAGUAUCUUUUGAGAUUAAAGUGACUCUUUACUGUAGGAAAAAUAUUACUCUGUGUUUACAGAUUCAUUGCUGUGGUCAGGCCAUUUUUAAGGGAAGAGUUAUUUAAUAUAAAUAGUCUCUGAUUUUAAGUUCUGUUUAAUGUUCAUUCUCCUUCCAAGAACAAAGUGGUGAUUUUUGGUUAGGGUGAUCGCCCUCUUAAAAUUGGCAGUGCUGUUCCUUGUGCUGCCCCUGUCUUUUCCUCUGAUGGCAUUUUUUUUUUUUUUUUUUUAACACAGGUUGAAACAUUUCAUCUAUUAUCUCUGCCUCAUUUCUGGAGGGUUGUGUAUCAGUUCUCUAACACUUGUUCCUGAGAACUAAAUGUCUUUUUUAUUCUUAUUUCCUCUCUCAUAAACAUUUGGUGACCUUUUACCAAGUGGUGAGUUAGUUAGGUUUUUUAAAAUAAAAUGUUCAUUGUAUUU